GUGGGCCAUUCCAUCCAGCGAGUAAAGCUUUACCCGUGACAUUAUCCAAGUGUGGGAACCGCCACAGCGAUCGUUGGGUGAUAUCCGCAGCCAGGACUGCUUCUGUUUUGGUGCAACGACUAAGUCGUAAUGGCCGGCCCUGCCGGUAAAGAGAUAGUCUCAAUCUCGUGGGGAGACCCAUGACAGCUUUUGCAUUAAAUCAGUUAUCGUUUAUUUGAUAAUACCUUACCACUUGGAUAACUGUGGUAAUUCUAGAGCUAAUACAUGCUAAAAACCCCGACUUCGGAAGGGGUGUAUUUAUUAGAUAAAAAACCAAUGCCCUUCGGGGCUCCUUGGUGAUUCAUAAUAACUUAACGAAUCGCAUGGCCUUGCGCCGGCGAUGGUUCAUUCAAAUUUCUGCCCUAUCAACUUUCGAUGGUAGGAUAGUGGCCUACCAUGGUCUUAACGGGUAACGGGGAAUUAGGGUUCGAUUCCGGAGAGGGAGCCUGAGAAACGGCUACCACAUCCAAGGAAGGCAGCAGGCGCGCAAAUUACCCAAUCCCAAUCCGGGGAGGUAGUGACAAUAAAUACUGAUACAGGGCUCUUUCGGGUCUUGUAAUUGAAAUGAGAAAAAUCUAAAUCCCUUAACGAGGAACAAUUGGAGGGCAAGUCUGGUGCCAGCAGCCGCGGUAAUUCCAGCUCCAAUAGCGUAUAUUAAAGUUGUUGCAGUUAANAAGCUCGUAGUUGAACCUUGGGUCUGGCU
RNAcentral lists this ribosomal RNA (742 nucleotides) under Chaetothyriales sp. A531. Its description in RNAcentral is "SSU rRNA". The stretch from base 131 to 742 matches the Rfam family "Eukaryotic small subunit ribosomal RNA", at positions 1 to 652 of the family's 1831-position model. Lineage: Eukaryota; Fungi; Ascomycota; Eurotiomycetes; Chaetothyriales. The record is from RNAcentral.